CCUACGGGUGGCAGCAGUGAGGAAUAUUGGUCAAUGGACGCAAGUCUGAACCAGCCAUGCCGCGUGCAGGAUGACGGCUCUCUGAGUUGUAAGCUGCUUUUGUACGAGGGUAAACCCCGAUACGUGUAUCGGGUUGAAAGUAUCGUACGAAUAAGGAUCGGCUAACUCCGUGCCAGCCGCCGCGGUACUACGGAGUAUCCGAGCGUUAUCCGGAUUUACUGGGUGUACAGGGCGUGUAGGCGGGAAAGCAAGUCAGAUGUGAAAACCAUGGGCUCAACCUGUGGCCUGCAUUUGAAACUGGUUUUCGUGAGUACUGGAGAGGCAGACGGAAUUCCUAGUGUAGCGGUGAAAGGCGUAGAUAUUAGGAGGAACACCAGUGGCGAAGGCGGUCUGCUGGACAGCAACUGACGCUGAGGCGCGAAAGCGUGGGGAGCAAACAGGAUUAGAUACCCUUGUAGUC
RNAcentral lists this ribosomal RNA (460 nucleotides) under uncultured bacterium. RNAcentral describes it as "partial 16S ribosomal RNA". It matches the Rfam family "Bacterial small subunit ribosomal RNA", at positions 338 to 795 of the family's 1533-position model. The record is from RNAcentral.